Molecule: ribosomal RNA, 1566 nt
Filed under: metagenome
Description: bacterial SSU rRNA
Rfam family: Eukaryotic small subunit ribosomal RNA
Source: RNAcentral
AAAACGGCUACCACUUCUACGGAAGGCAGCAGGCGCGCAAAUUACCCAAUCCUGACACAGGGAGGUAGUGACAAUAAAUAUCAAUGUCAGGCCCAAGUGGUUUGACAAUUGGAAUGAGAACAAUUUAAAUCCCUUAGCGAGUAACAAUUGGAGGGCAAGUCUGGUGCCAGCAGCCGCGGUAAUUCCAGCUCCAAUAGCGUAUUCUAAAGUUGUUGCAGUUAAAAAGCUCGUAGUUGGAUUGAAUAGCAGUGGUUGCGGCGAGCGCGAGGAAUCGUGCGCGUUGGGGCAGCUGCUAUUGCACGCGAACCAUUGGGUUACUGCGGUCAUUCACUUGGCUGUGGGUUUGUGCGCGCGAGAGCGUGCGCAUUGUGCGCAAGUGCAAAAUCGGUGGUUCAAUUUACUCGGAGUAAAUUAGAGUGUUUCAAGCAGCCUCUUGGGGUUUUGAAUAUUAAAGCAUAGGAUGAGGGAAUGGUCUUGUGAGAGUUUCGCCGUUUGUGCCGUUCCGCCGGCCACGUAAGGUUUCUCUUGCACACAAGACAAUGAUUAAAAGGAGCAGUUGGGGGCAUUUGUAUUUCGUUGCUAGAGGUGAAAUUCUUGGAUUUACGAAAGACACACGUAUGCGAAAGCAUUUGUCAAGGAUGCAUUCAUUAAUCAAGAACGAAAGUUAGGGGAUCGAAGACGAUUAGAUACCGUCGUAGUCUUAACUAUAAACGAUGCCGACCAAGUUUUCGAGGUACUUUUUUGGCGCGCUCGUAGCGAUACGCGGCGCGCACAAAAGAUUCCCCGAGCGCUUUGUGAGAAAUCACAAGUUUUUAGGUUCCGGGGGGAGUAUGUUCGCAAGAAUGAAACUUAAAGGAAUUGACGGAGAGGCACCACCAGGAGUGGAACCUGCGGCUUAAUUUGACCCAACACGGGGAAACUUACCGCGUCCAGAUGUAAGAAGGAUUGACAGAUUGAAGUUCUUUCAAGAUUUUACAGGUGGUGGUGCAUGGCCGUUCUUAGUUGGUGAAUUGGUUUGUCUGGUCAACUCCGAUAACGAACGAGACUUUAAUAUUUUAGUAUGGGUUUGAGUGAGCCAGUGCGCAAGUGCUGGUGAACUCAGGGUCAGGGAAUGACACACGUGAAACUCAUCAUUAAAUAGACAACUAGCAAAAAGCUAGGGGAAGCAUAAAGCAAAAACAGGUCUGUGAUGCCCUUCGAUGAUGCGGGCCGCACGCGGGUUACAAUGAUAUUUUCAACAAGUCGCACGGCCGUGGCGUAAGCUGCAGCCAAUCCUGUUUCGAAAGGAAUGGGUAAUCUUUGAAACAAUAUCAAGCUGGGGAUAGAUGAUUGUAAUUAUUCAUCUUGAACGAGGAAUUCCUAGUAAGUGCAGUUCAUCAAACUGCGCUGAUUACGUCCCUGCCUCUUGUACACACCGCCCGUCGCUGCUACUGAUGUAUGUUUGGGUGAAAUAAUCGGAUUUUCGUGCUUUAACGUAAGGCAAAGAGCGAAGAAAUGUUUCUUAAAUCUUAACGUGUAGAGGAAGCAAAAGUCGUAACAAGGUUUCCGUAGGUGAACCUGCGGAAG